AACGUAGGUGGCGAGCGUUAUCCGGAUUUACUGGGCGUAAAGGGUGUGCAGGCGGGUCGCCAAGUGGUGUAUGAAAUGGCCCGGCUUAACCGGGCAAGGUUAUGCCAGACUGGCGGUCUGGAGUGCGAGAGAGGGGCGUGGAAUUCCGGGUGUAGUGGUGAAAUGCGUAGAGAUCCGGAGGAACCCCAGAGGCGAAGGCGGCGCCCUGGCUCGCAACUGACGCUCAGACACGACAGCAUGGGGAG
RNAcentral lists this ribosomal RNA (245 nucleotides) under uncultured Bellilinea sp. Its description in RNAcentral is "partial 16S ribosomal RNA". It matches the Rfam family "Bacterial small subunit ribosomal RNA", at positions 524 to 768 of the family's 1533-position model. The record is from RNAcentral. Lineage: Bacteria; Bacillati; Chloroflexota; Anaerolineae; Anaerolineales; Anaerolineaceae.